Molecule: long non-coding RNA, 2890 nt
Filed under: Salvia miltiorrhiza (redroot sage)
Lineage: Eukaryota; Viridiplantae; Streptophyta; Magnoliopsida; Lamiales; Lamiaceae
Description: long non-coding RNA (SMIL_LNC005816)
Source: RNAcentral
CGAAACCUAGAUUUAAGUUUUGAACGAUCCUUUACCUCAUUCUCCAUCUCCUCCAUGAGCUGGUUAGCAGUUUUUUUAAGAAAAUAAAGAGCACAAUCUUCAAAUAAUGUAAAGUAUGCUGCCUGCUCCAUGUCAUCAUCAUCAUCAUCAUCAUCUAUGAGUACCUUCAUCAAAUAUCUAAUAAUAACCGGAAAACAACAAAUUAAAAGAUAUUUUGUAAAUUUAUAUAGAUGUAACCUGGAAAAUGUAUAAAACAUAUAUAAUAUUAGACACAAAAAUAAUGGUAAAUAUGUAAAUAACCUUAUAUGGAUUUACCCGAUCGGACGCUUGCACUUUUUGCAUUGGUCUCCAACUUUACUUCCUUUUGCAAUACCUUUAUAGCACCUAUCAUUCCCACAUGCUUCAUAGAACCAUGAUUAUGUAGGAUGAAUGUCUCUAAUAGUCCCCUUGCAUAUAAAGGUACCAACCUAAAAAUUCAAAAAUAAAUAAAUAAAAUUAAAUUUUGGUGCUAUCAAUAAAAAAAAAUCCCAACCUUGAAUAAUCGCUAUGCUAUGUAUACCUCAUCCGAGUUAACCAUCUGCUUAAUGGUUCUCGCGAGAGAACCAUUCAACCAAUCCUCACUUUUAAAUUCUCCACCACUACUCGAAAUGUUUGUGAUAGAACAACUCAAUAGAUUUCCAGUCCCACGCCUUAAUAUAAUAGUAAUAUCAAUAAAGAAAUAUCAAAUUAAUAUAAAAAAAAUAAUUAAAACUAUAAACAAUUUGAAAGUAAGUAGUGUAUGUUCAAUUACAAACCUAAGAAUAAACUAUUUGACCUGUUGGAUUUCCGGACUGAUAAAGAACCGAGUUGCAUGCUUCAUUGUGGAAAUGAAGGUUUUCCCUAAAAUUAAAUACAAAAUUUGUGAAUAAUUUUGAUCAUCCUUUUUAUAUACUUAGAACAAUUAAUAAAUCUUAAACCUUGAAAGUUGAUAUCUUCGCAAAUUGCAAAGCCACGAGAACGGGCUCUUUGUCUUCAUUUUUCUUGGACUCCAUAAAAGAUUUAGUUCAUCAGCAAAAGACUCCCACAACACACAAGUUACUUGUGUUCCACUAAUGUCAACAUAGCAUAUAUAAGUGAAUCAAAAAGUUAGAUAAUGAUUACAUAUAUAUUUGACUGUACAAAAAAAAAAGGAGAGCAAGAACACCCUAACUGUUGUUCAUGUUCUAGAACAAAUUGCUCGAAUUCCCAUUAUAUAUUCUCAAAUUCCCAUACAAUAUUAUCCUCCAACUAAAACCAUGAUUUUGAUUAUGCACGAGCAAUCAAAAUCUCACCGAAAGGAAUCGGGAUACGAAUGCCAAUAAUUUCAGUUAGGGAUACUCACAAUAAUAAUCAACUAUUCCUUAAAAAAUCAAAUAUUCCAAUCACAGUUUCACAUAGCCACAUAUAAGAAUGGAUCAUACAAAUCUGUACUAUUCAGUUUCACAUUACCAUAAUAAUUAAAGAAUUAGUAAAAAUCAUACUCUGCAUCUUCCAAUGUGACGUCACAUUUGCUGGCUUUUCUACCUUUGAAGUCCACCCAUUCUAUUGUAAUUGUGUCGUUCUUGACCUCCGAGAAUAUCUGCAAGUAGUAUAAUUUAUAUUUUAAUAAAUAUGGCAUGAACAUGUAAAAUUUAAUAUAUAGAUCAUUAUUUAAGAAAAUUAUUCUUACCCAAAACAAACAUGCUAUCAUGCGAUUGUAUUUCCUUGAAAGGUACAAAUUGGAAUCCAUCUUUCACAAUUUCCACAAACUCCUUAGGUUCCGACACAUUAGUAGCAAGGCCAAAGCCGAUCCUACAUUGAUGAUUGAUUUUGGCAUAUUGAAGGCUUGUAUUAUUUUUGAUAGCUUGAAAGUUUUCAAAAACAUAAAUUUGGCCCUCUUUUAGUAGAUUUAAAAAAUUGCUUUUCAACCCCGUAGAGAUUGUAGCUUGAAUUUUGUCACCCUGCACAUAAAAAAAUUAUGUAUAGACUACAUAGAUAAAGUAUGAGCUAAAAAAAUAACCAAUAAUGAACACUUACCAUUUCAUCCACUACAAUCAUCUCAAUUCAUUCCUUUCCUGUUAUGUCCUUUUGAAUCCACAAUCGAAGUAUCCUGACCACCACAAGCUUAUUUCUUGUGUUAUCAUUUAUGGCAUUCAAUUGAAUCUUCUUUCUUGAUGUUGACAUCUCCUUGUGUUAUAAUAAAUGAAUGCAAUACGUUUAGAAUAUAGAACAAGGCAGUAUCAGGCAGUCAAAAGAAAAUAUAUGUUACAGAGUCAAAUUACAGAAGCUCAAGCACACAAUUGCAGGUAUGAUCAGAACAUACAUGCAUAAAAAUAAAAGAAUAGCUGUAUAAGAUGAAGGACAAACCAACAACAUGACUACUCCACUAUGAAGGGCUUAGGACCAGAUCUGACCCAGCAAAUGGCAGAGCAGAUGAUAUAAUAUGUUGGUUUGCAGAAUGAUACAACCUACUUUGGUGAUUCGAUUUCCAUUAACAAAAAUCAUAAUAUAGUCAUCCUUUUGAAGCAAACCGUUGAAUAAAAUGACAUCAAUCCAGGAAGAUAUUUUUUGGCAUCAAAAUAGCAUCAUUUUUAGUACCAACUAUAAGCAAAGAAAAAUAAUAUCAGAUAGCCCAAAAGAAUUAUCCAUGCAACACAACUACAAUUUCGAACACAAUAAGAAUUUUAUGGCAAAUAUCAGAAUUCGGGGUUGAAAAUAAAUUAGAAUAAUAAUUAAAUAAAAAUGCUGAUCGAAUUCGGCUCAUAAGGGAUCUGCUACUUGGAGAGUUUACCUGUUUGUGUGAGACUCUCCUUUCACUUGUGAGAGCCCGGGGUGGCUGCCUUGUUCGUCGAGGCAGAGGAGUCUCCGACGAGGCACAGGGACAGUGGCGAGU